RNAcentral lists this ribosomal RNA (540 nucleotides) under uncultured bacterium. RNAcentral describes it as "bacterial SSU rRNA". It matches the Rfam family "Bacterial small subunit ribosomal RNA", at positions 8 to 525 of the family's 1533-position model. The record is from RNAcentral.
AGAGUUUGAUCCUGGCUCAGAUUGAACGCUGGCGGCAGGCCUAACACAUGCAAGUCGAGCGGAUGAGUGGAGCUUGCUCCAUGAUUCAGCGGCGGACGGGUGAGUAAUGCGUAGAUAAUCUGCCUUAGACUCUGGGAUAACAUCUCGAAAGGGGUGCUAAUACCGGAUAAGCCCACGGGGACGUGAGUUCUUGCGGGAAAAGGGGGCUUCUGCACAUGCUCUUGAUCUAAGAUGAGUCUGCGUACCAUUAGCUUGUUGGUAGGGUAAUGGCCUACCAAGGCGACGAUGGUUAGCUGGUCUGAGAGGAUGAUCAGCCACACUGGGACUGAGACACGGCCCAGACUCCUACGGGAGGCAGCAGUGGGGAAUUUUGCGCAAUGGGGGAAACCCUGACGCAGCAACGCCGCGUGAGUGAUGAAGGCUUUCGGGUCGUAAAGCUCUGUCUAGAGGGAAGAAGUGAUAUUCGGUUAAUACCCGGGUUUCUUGACGGUACCUCUGAAGGAAGCACCGGCUAACUCCGUGCCAGCAGCCGCGGUAAUA